Molecule: ribosomal RNA, 253 nt
Filed under: uncultured bacterium
Lineage: Bacteria
Description: partial 16S ribosomal RNA
Rfam family: Bacterial small subunit ribosomal RNA
Source: RNAcentral
UACGGGGGGUGCAAGCGUUAUCCGGAUUUACUGGGUUUAAAGGGUGCGUAGGCGGCUUAAUAAGUCAGUGGUGAAAGCUCGCAGCUCAACUGUGAAACUGCCAUUGAAACUGCUAAGCUUGAAUCUGGUUGAAGUGGGCGGAAUACAACAUGUAGCGGUGAAAUGCUUAGAUAUGUUGUAGAACACCGAUUGCGAAGGCAGCUCACUAAGCCAACAUUGACGCUGAGGCACGAAAGCGUGGGUAGCAAACAGG